RNAcentral lists this unclassified non-coding RNA (161 nucleotides) under uncultured fungus. Its description in RNAcentral is "sequence contains ITS1". Lineage: Eukaryota; Fungi. The record is from RNAcentral.
GCUUGUGUGUUGUGUCGUGUAUCGUGCGUCCAUCGUGAGCGUGUGGUGUGUGUUCCUGCGGCAGAGGUGCGUCUGCUCGCUCGCCGCAGGAAUCAACGGUGCAACAGGGUUGUUCGUUCGUGUGCUUGUUAAUGAUCCUUCCGCAGGUUCACCUACGGAAA